Molecule: long non-coding RNA, 278 nt
Filed under: Marmota monax (woodchuck)
Lineage: Eukaryota; Metazoa; Chordata; Mammalia; Rodentia; Sciuridae
Source: RNAcentral
CAAUUCUCCUGCCUGAGCCUCUGCCCAACAAAAUGGCGGCUGCGGCGGCGUCGCUUUGUUUCCGCGGCUCCUGCGGCGGUCGCAGUGGUAGCGGCCUUUGAGCAGUGGGGAGGAUCCAGCACCGGUGACAGUGACUACUAAGAUUCCAGGGCAUUUUUAUCGUAAUCUGGCGCAGGAACCGUAGUGGCGCCAAAGGACUACAGAAGCCGAGGCGGCGAUCAAGCGAAAACAUGACUGCUGAGCCNGAAAAGAGGGGGGCAGGGUGAAAAGAGGGGGGA